AACGAACGCUGGCGGCAUGCCUAACACAUGCAAGUCGAACGAGACCUUCGGGUCUAGUGGCGCACGGGUGCGUAACGCGUGGGAACCUGCCCGUAGGUUCGGAAUAACUCCCCGAAAGGGGUGCUAAUACCGGAUAAUGUCUUCGGACCAAAGAUUUAUCGCCUUUGGAUGGGCCCGCGUUGGAUUAGCUAGUUGGUAGGGUAAAAGCCGACCAAGGCGACGAUCCAUAGCUGGUCUGAGAGGAUGAUCAGCCACACUGGGACUGAGACACGGCCCAGACUCCUACGGGAGGCAGCAGUGGGGAAUAUUGGACAAUGGGCGAAAGCCUGAUCCAGCCAUGCCGCGUGAGUGAUGAAGGCCUUAGGGUUGUAAAGCUCUUUUAGCCGGGAUGAUAAUGACAGUACCGGGAGAAUAAGCUCCGGCUAACUCCGUG
This 433-nucleotide ribosomal RNA is filed under the name uncultured bacterium. Its description in RNAcentral is "partial 16S ribosomal RNA". It matches the Rfam family "Bacterial small subunit ribosomal RNA", at positions 29 to 507 of the family's 1533-position model. The record is from RNAcentral.